GAAAUUAUUUUAGGUUAAACAAGUUAGAUUUUUUUAGAAGUUAUUAGAAAAAUAUGAGUUUAAAAUAAAUUAGUAAUAAUAAAAGAAUUUAAAAUAUAUUAAUGUACAAAUUAUAAAAUAAAAAAGUUAUAUGAAAAAUAUUAAGUUUUUUAUUUACAAAAUAAAUAAAGGUUAUAGAAAAUAUCAAAUUAUUAGAUUAAUAGGUUUAUUAUUAUUAUUCAAUUAGAAAA
RNAcentral lists this long non-coding RNA (230 nucleotides) under Lathyrus oleraceus (garden pea). RNAcentral describes it as "Pisum sativum (pea) long non-coding RNA (PSAT_LNC024516)". The record is from RNAcentral. Lineage: Eukaryota; Viridiplantae; Streptophyta; Magnoliopsida; Fabales; Fabaceae.